Molecule: ribosomal RNA, 404 nt
Filed under: uncultured bacterium
Lineage: Bacteria
Description: bacterial SSU rRNA
Rfam family: Bacterial small subunit ribosomal RNA
Source: RNAcentral
UGGGGAAUAUUGGACAAUGGGCGCAAGCCUGAUCCAGCAAUGCCGCGUGGGUGAUGAAGGCCUUCGGGUUGUAAAGCCCUUUUGGCGGGGACGAUGAUGACGGUACCCGCCGAAUAAGCUCCGGCUAACUUCGUGCCAGCAGCCGCGGUAAUACGAAGGGAGCUAGCGUUGUUCGGAAUUACUGGGCGUAAAGGGCGCGUAGGCGGUUUCGAUAGUCGGGCGUGAAAUCCCCAGGCUCAACUUGGGAAUUGCGUUCGAUACUGCGAGACUUGAGUGAGGGAGAGGAUAGUGGAAUUCCCAGUGUAGAGGUGAAAUUCGUAGAUAUUGGGAAGAACACCAGUGGCGAAGGCGGCUAUCUGGACCUCAACUGACGCUGAGGCGCGAAAGCGUGGGGAGCAAACAGG